RNAcentral lists this ribosomal RNA (253 nucleotides) under uncultured bacterium. Its description in RNAcentral is "partial 16S ribosomal RNA". It matches the Rfam family "Bacterial small subunit ribosomal RNA", at positions 524 to 776 of the family's 1533-position model. The record is from RNAcentral.
UACGGAGGGUGCGAGCGUUAAUCGGAAUUACUGGGCGUAAAGCGUGCGCAGGCGGUUCGUUAAGUCAGAUGUGAAAGCCCCGGGCUCAACCUGGGAACUGCAUUUGAAACUGGCGGGCUUGAGUGUGGCAGAGGGGGGUGGAAUUCCGCGUGUAGCAGUGAAAUGCGUAGAGAUGCGGAGGAACACCGAUGGCGAAGGCAGCCCCCUGGGCCAACACUGACGCUCAUGCACGAAAGCGUGGGGAGCAAACAGG